RNAcentral lists this ribosomal RNA (474 nucleotides) under uncultured bacterium. RNAcentral's name for it is "bacterial SSU rRNA". It matches the Rfam family "Bacterial small subunit ribosomal RNA", at positions 38 to 507 of the family's 1533-position model. The record is from RNAcentral.
GGCGGCAUGCCUUACACAUGCAAGUCGAACGGCAGCACGGGAGCAAUCCUGGUGGCGAGUGGCGAACGGGUGAGUAAUAUAUCGGAACGUGCCCGGUCGUGGGGGAUAACGUAGCGAAAGCUACGCUAAUACCGCAUACGAUCUACGGAUGAAAGCGGGGGAUCGCAAGACCUCGCGCGAUUGGAGCGGCCGAUAUCAGAUUAGGUAGUUGGUGAGGUAAAGGCUCACCAAGCCGACGAUCUGUAGCUGGUCUGAGAGGACGACCAGCCACACUGGGACUGAGACACGGCCCAGACUCCUACGGGAGGCAGCAGUGGGGAAUUUUGGACAAUGGGCGCAAGCCUGAUCCAGCAAUGCCGCGUGCAGGAUGAAGGCCUUCGGGUUGUAAACUGCUUUUGUACGGAACGAAACGGUGAGCUCUAAUACAGUUUGCUAAUGACGGUACCGUAAGAAUAAGCACCGGCUAACUACGUG